This 267-nucleotide ribosomal RNA is filed under the name uncultured bacterium. RNAcentral describes it as "partial 16S ribosomal RNA". It matches the Rfam family "Bacterial small subunit ribosomal RNA", at positions 123 to 406 of the family's 1533-position model. The record is from RNAcentral.
AAUCUGCCCCUUGGUUCGGAAUAACAGUUAGAAAUGACUGCUAAUACCGGAUGAUGUCUUCGGACCAAAGAUUUAUCGCCAAGGGAUGAGCCCGCGUAGGAUUAGCUAGUUGGUGAGGUAAAAGCUCACAAAGGCGACGAUCCUUAGCUGGUCUGAGAGGAUGAUCAGCCACACUGGGACUGAGACACGGCCCAGACUCCUACGGGAGGCAGCAGUGGGGAAUAUUGGACAAUGGGCGAAAGCCUGAUCCAGCAAUGCCGCGUGAGU